Long non-coding RNA from Drosophila ananassae, 3429 nucleotides. RefSeq lists it as uncharacterized. The record is from RefSeq and is a predicted model, not a curated record. The transcript has 3 exons. NCBI's taxonomy places the organism in Eukaryota, Metazoa, Arthropoda, Insecta, Diptera, Drosophilidae.
AACAGCAGCAGUCUGCCAGCUUGUGUGUGUUGUCUGGGGAGUGUGUGAGCACGAGGGAGAGAGCAGCAUGGUGGUGUGCGGGGCAACAGCUGCCACCUCGAAACUAAUUCCUCUCUUGUAAUUUUUCGAAAGAUACAAUAUCUCUGCAGUUGAUAUACACAUGUAUCUGAGCAGUCGGGAGCGAUCGCUAUGAAAAUACAUAAGCUUGGUAUCCCAUCUUGCCUGCCUCUUAACUAAUCCCCGAAGUCGUAUUUUUGUGGCAACGUCCAACACUUCCCGCCCUACUGGUCACUAUUCUCCUUACCGCUGCUGUAAUGAGUCCGUUCGAAGCUACACGCUCGCUGGCAGACGGACCUCUUCAGGGUAAGCCGGUUGAAGAAAACAUAAGUAAUUUUGUGAGAAAACAAACAACGUGGACCAGUCGCUGCCAAACCCCCAUUACAUGCUGUUUUCGAGGCGAUCACGAAGCCCAAGAACAUGCACCUCCAAACAUGUGUUAUGGACGUAUUGAUAACACCGAUGAGCCCAAACGAAAAAAUAUUCUAAACAAAAUGUUGUGAAAAGUGCGUAUUUGGGUCGCCGCGUGUGACAAACUGUCAGUCCAAUAUUCCAAUAAGCUCGAGCCGCUCUCCACCCUCCACCCAGUCACAACUACACGCACCCGACGAGCAAACACUCACAAAAAUAGUGAUCGGGUUUCGGGUUCUGUUUUUGUUCUACUUCACUGCCACUGCCCCUCAGAACGCAUGUUUACCCACUAAUCAACUGCACACACACACGCUACACGCAUGUGUAGGUAUUACAAACGAUUGGCGCCAAGUCAUUAGUACCACUUGGUACACUUGAAGCCAAAUACCUCCUAAAUCGAAUAUGUAGAUACUUUUCGAAGACAGUAAUUAUUUUUCUGGUCUGGAACUAGACAGUGGAGAAGUCAGACGACUCCCGCUCCAUUCGAACCCCAAGAAGCCGCUGCCAAGAGCUCCCCACCGCUGCUGUAUUUCCACACACCCAAAAAUAACGUUACGUCGGUGUAAAAAAUGUGCCCCAGUCGGUCUAUUGUAUAAUACUGUUGAUCAAAUGAAGCGCCGUUGGACUUGGACCCAGAGCUGUUACAACAACAAAGGCCUCAAUCGGGCCAAAUUAAAAUGCGGAUUAUCUCGAUCGGUGCGUCCUAUCUUCCCCGAUUUCUUUCAUUUUAAUUGGAUUUCGUAUUUAUCCAAGAUCAAUGCCUCCGUGCGCAGUUUGAGGAGCACUGGACCGUGCAUACGUGCAGCGUGGAGCUCAAGCUCUCUCGCGCCACUACAGUUGUAACUGGGAGCACUGCACUCUGGGGAGGAAAACUUUUCAAACCAAAAGAAAACAAACAUCUAUGGAGGCCGCCACCUUCCGAGGGCUGUUUAUGCGCCAGUGAAAUACUCGAACCUUGCGAAUACACAGAUACUUUUUCGCUCAUAGAUAGAACCGAACCCCUUUGCCUUGGUGGGGGGUCAGGCACCAGGGUCUGGCUUAUUCAGAUCGUGAAUCAGGAACUAGAAUAGCUGCAUGAACGACACUCGCCUUGGGGUGGAAGUGUUCCAGAACGUUCGGUUGCAUCGCACAGGCUGACUGCUAAGCAGUCACGUAACUACCAGUAUGCUCUCUUAACAAAACAACUGCAAAUAUAAUGCACUCCUAUGUUCAUAUGCAUCCACCUCUAUACAUAUGAACCAGAUCAUCGGGGUCUUGGCCCCAUGCAAGUCUGUAUGGAUUUCUGGGGUGGUGCAUUUAACAUAUGGCUGCUAAAAAUACAGCAGCCCUGUGUAUCUCAAGACACACAUCUUAAACACAACUUGGGGUCGAAGAACUGGCCCUUUACGAGCUUACAGGAAAGUGUCGUACGACAAAUUCGUGACGUCACAGGUCAUUUAAAUUUCAGACACAGUCCACGCAUUACAUGAAUUUGGGCGCACGACAGUGGUUGGUUGCCAAAAAAAGGUAAAAUGGUACAAAGCUAAGCCAGAGUUAAAUGAAGCCAACAUUACUUCGUAGAUAAUAUUAAUAAAAUGCCCUAAUAAAAUGAAUUUCUGCGGUAGUCUUAGGAAAACAGUCCACCUUAGCGACUAUCUACUGUCUCAGUUCUAAGCGCCCUCCAGAAUUCCAGUCCAGCUUCUGUUUUUUUGUGAUGUUUGUGCUGGACUCUAAUCAGAAUGCGAAGCCCUUUGUUUACACACCCACGUGGGCAAGGUGCUAUAAAUAAGAUCGAAUAUAUGGAGGUAUGUUUACAAAGCUUGGACCCUAGGCGGGAAAGCCUUGCCCCGCCGAUUACCUUUCGGAUUUUGAUUUCGGAUCUGCGUGUCUAGUUUUCUGCUUCAACUGCUCUUGUCACACUUUUCAAGGCCCCUGUUCCACGCAGUUUUAAUGCCAUUCGAGAUACAUCCGCAUCGCCAUUCGAAUGGAUCUGAAUGGCGUACGUGUUCUGCUCCAUCGCCGGCUCAGCCGGCUCAGGAAAAAAAUUAAAAACAAAAACAGAAACGCAGCAGAAGCGUGUGGGGCGUGCGAGCUGUAUUCUCUGAUGAUAUUGGGUGCUCCCAUUGAAACCCAAAGGGGUUCGAAACCAAUUGCGUUCUUUCAAAUCCAAAAUUAGGAGGUUCGAUCUUGCUGGGCCUUAUUUAUUUUCCGGAUGCGGAUUUCGGCACGUUGCCACGCCGGCGACACAGGCCUCGACUGCGGCGUCAGUGGUUGCAUGAGCUCGUUUUCCUGCCCAUCCACCAGUUUACAUAAAGUGUCGUCAAAAUUUAAUUGCGUCGUGUCCCUGUGUGUGUGCUGCUGAGUUUUCCAUUUGCCAGCACAAGGAAAACAAAAAAGGGACUACGUGCCGCUCGCAACGCUACCUUUCCCCCGCUGGGCUGUUGUGGUACAACGUAAAUAGCAUUUGUGACUCACGAAAAUAUGGAUUUAAAAGUAUGAAUCUCAUAGUAUCCUUGUGGAAUCAACCGUUGAUGAAAACUCUUCUCUAAGUGUACUAAAUUGAAUUAUAUGCUUAUCAGCGACCUGCUUAUUAGACUUGAUAAAACUCAGCAACAAACAAAAGUGAAAAUAUCAACACAUGACCGUCGUCAUCGCUGCGGGUUACAAAACCCAAGACCCAGCAGAUAAACGCGAGCCCCGACUUUAUUGUAAAGAUUAGGCCAAAAGGAAUGGAAAUGAAAUAGAAAUGAAAAUAAGUAACACAAACACAGAUUUGGACAGAAAUUAGGAUUUUUAGUUCGAAUAGGUUCGAAAUUUAUUCAAAUAAGAUGCAAAUAAGGGCGUUUAAACAAAUAAUUAGUACUUAAGAUAGGGUAGAGGCAAUCGAAUUUCUAUUGCAAACUGUAAUACCUUUUGCUUCGAAAAUCCUUUUUAUUAAAAACUAAUAAAAGUAAUUCCCACCUCAAGCUCCUAAGAGAGCUG